ACGAAAAUUUCCAAGAUUUAUCAAAUAAUCCAGUAAUAAAGGCCAAAUCAUCCAAUUGAGGGUGAAAGUAUGGAUUUUGGCCGGAUUUGAAUAACAAGAAUUUGAUUGAAUGCGCUCUUUGUCAUAGACAAAUGCAUUCUGAAGUCAAGAGGUUAAAGCAAUAUUUAGUUGGGAGCUACGGCGAUGUUGUUAAAUGUCCUAAUACCACAUAAGAAAUUCGUAAGGAAAUACAUCAAUUUAUGAGCAAAAAAGUGAUUAAUAAAGCAUCGUGGGGUAUUACCGAACUUGAUUAUUUCGAGGAUACCGAAGACAACGAGAAGUUAGAAGAAAAUCAAUCUACGGGUGCUAUAAAUUCAUUCCAAGCCUUCAGUGCAUCGAAGUUCGGGCACAAAUAGCAAAAGAAAGUUGGCUCAAUCAACUUUAAAAUUUUUUGAACCUCCGAGAGUUGGAAAACAAAGUAAGUCAAUUGCUGCAAUGAUUCGAAAGACUCCUGAAGAGAUUGUUGAAGAAAGACAUAUGGACGGUUAUGUUCAGAAAACCAUCGAAGCUUCUACAAAAGGAAAAGAUGAAACAAUUGAAGUGCAAAGGCAUAUUGCCGAUUUUUUCUAUGAAAAUGGCAUUCCAUUCAAUGCUUGCAAAUCAAGAAGUUACGUAUUAUGGUUGAGGGUAUCGGACAAUAUGGUUCCGAUUUGAAACCUAUUAGUUAUCAUCAGUUGCAGGAACCAUUUCUUGAAAAUGCCGUAAAUGUAACAAAUAAGUUGAGAGAAUGGCAUAUGGAAGCUUAGAAACAAUAUGGGUGUUCCCUUAGGUCAUAUGGGUGGACAGACAAAAGAGGGCGACACUUAUAAAGUUUCUUGUCAAUAGUCCAUAUGGGACUUUUUUCUUGGAGUCUAUUGAUGCAUCAGCUGAGUCACAUGAUGCAAGAAUGUUGGCUUACUUGCUUGAAAAAAAGGUUGAAGAAAUUGACAAAGAGCAUGUUGUGCAAAUUGUGACGGAUAAUGGAGCAAAUCAUAAAACGGCGGGAAGAUUAGUAGCACAGCGCAUUCCUGGUCUUUUCUGGACACCAUGUGCAGCUCAUUCUAUUGAUCUUAUGCUAGAAGACAUUGGGAAAAUGAAUAAAUUUAAACCCUACAUUCAAAAGGCUAAGGACGUCACCACUUUUAUUUAUCGACAUCGGAGAAUUCUCGGUGCAAUGAAGGAAAAGACUGGUGGCAGAGAUCUGGUGAAGCCGGCGACUACCCGAUUUGCUACCGCAUUUCUCACUUUGCAGAGUUUAGACAAACAUAGGAAUGAAUUGAGACGGUUAUUUUUGAGUGAUGAUUGGAGCGAUAAUAAGCUGUCGAAAAUGUCUAAAGGCAAAAAGGUAAUGGAAACCAUUCUUUCAUCGAAAUUUUGGGAUCAGGUAGAAGAUUGUUUACGAGCAACACUUCAUUUUUUGAUUAUUUUGAGUAUAGUUGAUGGUGAUGAAAAGCCAGCUAUGCCUGAGCUUUCUUCGUCUAUGAAUCAUGCGAAGAAGAAAAUAAUUGAAUCUUUUACGAGCAAUAACAAAACAAGAUUGUUGGCCAAGUUGAUGGAAAUAAUUGAGGAUCGAUAGAGCGAUCAAAUGGAGGUGAAGUUAUAUGGGGCUGCACUAUUCCUAAAUCCUUCAAAAUAUUUUGAAUUAAAGAGGAGUGAUCCCGUAUUUGCUCGUAAGCAAUGUCAGUUGUUUAAUGAUAUUCCAGAAAAGAUGGUUAAAGAUGAAGAGUUGAUGGAUAAAAUUAGUGGUCAAAUAGAUGAUUACGAUAAAAUGCGAGGAAACUUUGGCCGUCAAUUGACAAUCAAGCACCAAAUGCAAAAGAGUCAUCUUGAUUGGUGGGAUGCAUAUAGUGGUGACAACGAAGAACUUCGAUCACUUGCGGUACGAACUAUUAGUUUAUGUUGCUCUUCUGCCGGUUGUGAGCGCAAUUGGAGUACAUUUGAAUUUAUUCAUACCAAGAAAAGAAAUAGACUAGAGCACCAAAGACUAAAUGAUUUGGUGUAUAUUCAAUAUAAUCGGAAGAUUGCACAUCGCUUUCAAAAGCGACGGGUAGCAUGAAGCAAUUUUAAUCCCUUAAUUUUUGAAGAAUUUCAAUGGGACAAUGAAUGGGUUGAUGGUUCUCGAGAUUUGGUUCAUGAAGAUGGAGAUCUUGAGUGACAUCAUGUUGAUGCAGCUGUAGGUGCUUCAAGUAAUCUCAAUAAUUCCAAUCUUCGUAGUAGAAGCGUUGGUGAAUCCUCAGGUCCGCCCAUCAUGUAUGACCGUCGCCAGGGCCCUUCUAACGGACAUUUGACAAAUGAGGAUGAAGAAAAUGAUGAAGAUUAUAUGAAUACCGAAGACUAAUGGGAAUUUGAGAAAUUGAGGAACUUUUUUCUUGGUGUUUUGAAACUUUCAUAUUUUGACAUAUUGAUAUUUUAGUGUUUUGAUGGUUAUGCUUAGCAUUUUGAUAUUUUGGUAUUUUGAUAUUUUAUUUGAAAUUUAAUGAUUGAUGUUAUAAUUUUACAUUAUAUAAUUAAAUAUUAAAAACUUAUAAUAAGUACUAAGCAAGUCGCCGUAUCGCCAUAUUGUCGCCAUUUCGGGUGCCGUAUCGCCUAGGCGAUAUGGCAGUCCGAUA
Andrographis paniculata is the source of this 2627-nucleotide long non-coding RNA. RefSeq lists it as uncharacterized. The transcript is spliced from 3 exons. The record is from RefSeq and is a predicted model, not a curated record. NCBI's taxonomy places the organism in Eukaryota, Viridiplantae, Streptophyta, Magnoliopsida, Lamiales, Acanthaceae.